RNAcentral lists this long non-coding RNA (311 nucleotides) under Homo sapiens (human). RNAcentral describes it as "HSALNT0329068". Lineage: Eukaryota; Metazoa; Chordata; Mammalia; Primates; Hominidae. The record is from RNAcentral.
UUGAGCUUGAACCUGAUAAGCCUGGCAGAAGCCUGAUGAACCCAGAAUGAGUGAGAUGUGAGACAGAGUCUUGUUCUGUCGUGCAUGCUGGCGUACAGUGCCACAAUCACAGCUCACCGCAGCUUCCAACUUCUGGACUCACAUGAUCCUUCUGCCUCAGACUUCCAAGUACUUGGGACUACAGUCACGAAUCACCACAGCCAGCUUGGAGUGACUUUCUAAGGGAUUCCAUCCAAGUUACCACAUUAUAUUUGUUAAUCACGUGUUCUUUGGCUUCUCUUGUUUGUGACAGUUUCUCAGACUUCUGUUUU